RNA transcript from Biomphalaria glabrata, 2272 nucleotides. RefSeq lists it as uncharacterized. The record is from RefSeq and is a predicted model, not a curated record. NCBI's taxonomy places the organism in Eukaryota, Metazoa, Mollusca, Gastropoda, Planorbidae. The transcript has 21 exons.
CCCGGCAUACUCGAAAUGACGUCAAAAUUCAACAAGGACGUCAUCAAGGCAUCCUGAAAGAGUAGCAGAAUUUCAACAUGGCGGUGGUGUCCCCUUUGCUUUGUUGAAAGCUUUUUCAUAGGCAGUUGAUUCGGUAAAUGUUUACCGAUCAAGGCCUCUCAGAACAGUCUGUCAAGCUUCACUUUGGAGAUGCAUUAGUCCACCGACUAGGAUCUUCAUUCUCUAUUUCUUGGACCUUAGCCUCUUGACAUUACGAAUGUCACUGAUGACAUCAGACUUACACCACCGCCGGAAAUAAGCUCACCACCUCUGCUCCCUCGACCAUUCCUCCCUUCAGGCAGUUUGCACCCUCUUCCCGCCGGAAUCUUUGCAGCCAAACUUUCCCUUCACUUCAGUAGCCGCCUUUUCAGACUCAGCCAACAUGAGCAAAAGUUUUAUGCUAAAGAGGCAUACCUCCCCUGAGUCAAUGAUCUCACCAAGGACUCCAGAAACCAGAACUAAAUCCUUGCCCAGAGACACUACUUCUCUCUACGGCAGCCACUACCACAGAUCUGAAUUUGGCUUGGAUGGCUCUCUUUCACGAUGUCCAGUUCAUGACAGUCCAAGGACUGUGACAACUUCGCCCAGACUGUCACGAGACCCAUCCUACCACCAACUGACCAGUAAAAUGUAUUUCAAACGUCUCAACACUAUUCAGAACUGGAAUACAAUCUACACUUCCAAAGUGCCAGGUUAUCAGAUGAUGGAGACAGACAUUGGUGGACCCAGCUGUUUAAAAACAACCAGCAAGCUGUCAGGCACAUGUAAGCACAAGGAUUUGAAGAGGAAAAUGGUGUUCGAUCUUCACAAGGAGGUCAAGAAAGGUGUCAACACGACUGUUCUGGAAGAAAUAUCUGAUAUGGAUAGAAUCACUGACAUCUGCAUGACAACGCUCAAGUCAAUGAUGGACUCCAAGAAACACCGGAAGUACCUACAUCACAUGAACAACAACGCUCUGCCUCGCGAGAUUAGCUUUGGGCAACGCUCUGGCUGGUAUCUGGACGACCUGACCAAUAAUGCCGAAUUGGCCAAAAGUAGCCUCCGUCGUAAAGAUUCUUUGCUUGGUGUGGGUUCCAAUGUUAAUACUGUUCUAACAUAUUUUAUUUACGCCUUCCCCCCUCCGUUGCUUACCCAAGUUCCUGUAUACUCCAGGCGUGCAGCCAAAAGGCCAACUGAAAAUGUCGGGACAGUUUCAGUAUUGGACAGUUCCAAGACGAGAGGUCCGCGUAUGAGUUAUAUCACAAUACCUGGCAUGGGACGAAUACUUCGAUCUGAUGUCAUGCUCCCAGAAUCCACUGCCACCACUUCUAGUACUGCUCUAAAACCUGCGGGGACCAGCAAACAAGCCAGGACGAAAACAGAUGAACGACCUGAUAGGAAACAAAUUUCAGUUGGUGCAGCUGACGCCGGAGCUGCUCCUGAUGACGCAUACCGCCGGAAAUCCAACACUGAUAAAGAUGACAUGAAAGCUUUAAAAUUAAUGGCAGAAAUACAAGCGCAGUAUUUUAAACAACAUGAUGAUGAGAGCGGCCAAUCUCAAAAACCUAAGCAAGAUGCUAAAAAAUUCAUUCCACUCUUGACACCAGAAGAAGCUCUGGCUUGCAAAUGGCUUCGGCUAACUCCGCAACAAGUUCAAGCUUUGGAAGAUUUGAUACGAGCUAAAGGCAUGGACCCUGGGAUACACGAGCACUCGAUAUUAAAGGAUUACGAUGUGUUUGCUGAGAUACGACAACUUAGACAAGCCGCCCAGAAACAGGCCAGCAAAGAAAUCAUCGAAGAGGCAGAAGAAGGUGAGAAGUAAGUCCCUAGGUCUCCAGCGCCUGCACAGUGGAUUCAAAGCAGCUCAUUGCCUCAGUUUAGUUGAACAUGUUUGUAAUGUUUAUGGCUGACUGACUGGAUCCAUCAUAAGUAGUAGGUUCAAAUCUCAUUUAAAAAAGGAAGUUUAUGUAUUUCGAUGAAGACGUUAACAAACUAGAAGCUUGGUUCUCAUGAAACUUUGGAAAACUGAUUAAGAAAUGCAGUCAAAUAAAUGUGUUUCUCAAACUAAGCAGACGAUGUAACCCAAGCAGAUGUCAAUGACUGAACACCUGUUGACGACGACUGGAUCCUGUCCUUUAAUUAAUUCCUCUUCAUUGGAGCUUCAUAUUGUGACGUAGCUAGAAACAAAGAAUUAUUUUUAAAAACAAACUGCCGAGCUAAAAACUAAACAAAAAAUAAAUCUCAGGGGUGAAUA